AAGUCGUAACAAGGUCUCCGUAGGGUGAGUUCAAUCAAUUUCAACCAUAAUGUCAAUCAAAUACUAACGAUAAAAAAGUGAACCUGCGGAGGGAUCAUUACUGAGCGAGGGCUUCCAGCCCGACCUCCAACCCUUUUGUGAUUCGGACCGUGUUGCCUCGAGGGCGACCCGGACGCUCCGGCGCCGGGCCCCUCGGUGGACCCAUCAAAACUCUUGCAUCUUUGCGUCGGAUUGAAACAAGUUUAAAUUAUCAAAACUUUCAACAACGGAUCUCUUGGUUCUG
Molecule: unclassified non-coding RNA, 283 nt
Filed under: air metagenome
Description: partial internal transcribed spacer 1
Source: RNAcentral